Non-coding RNA from Ictidomys tridecemlineatus (thirteen-lined ground squirrel), 71 nucleotides. Lineage: Eukaryota; Metazoa; Chordata; Mammalia; Rodentia; Sciuridae. The record is from Rfam.
GCGGUUGUAGCUCAGUGGUAGAGCACUUGCCUAGCAUGUGUGGGCCACUGGGUUCAAUUCUCAGCACCACA